GUGAAUCAUCAAAUUUUUGAACGCAAAUUGCACUCUCUUCGGAGAGUAUGCCUGUUUGAGGGUCAGCCUAAAAAAAAUCGACAUAGUCGCUGUUUCGCGGUGACAUUCGUCGGAAAUUGGGUCAUCUUAAACCUUUUGGUUUUAAGCGGCUUAAAAUUUUCUUUACGAUUCCACGAACGUUUCUAAGAUUUACUUAACGUUUUAGGGUUUGAUUUUUUAUUAACCUGGCCCUUU
Molecule: unclassified non-coding RNA, 234 nt
Filed under: Glomus sp.
Lineage: Eukaryota; Fungi; Glomeromycota; Glomeromycetes; Glomerales; Glomeraceae
Description: partial contains 5.8S ribosomal RNA and internal transcribed spacer 2
Rfam family: 5.8S ribosomal RNA (bases 1-65)
Source: RNAcentral